This 763-nucleotide ribosomal RNA is filed under the name uncultured bacterium. RNAcentral's name for it is "bacterial SSU rRNA". It matches the Rfam family "Bacterial small subunit ribosomal RNA", at positions 1 to 807 of the family's 1533-position model. The record is from RNAcentral.
UUCGCCCUUAGAGUUUGAUCCUGGCUCAGAACGAACGCUGGCGGCAGGCUUAACACAUGCAAGUCGAACGCCCCUUUCGGGGGGAGUGGGCAGACGGGUGAGUAACACGUGGGAACGUACCUCUUUGUUCGGAAUAACUCAUGGAAACGUGAGCUAAUACCGGAUACGCCCUUUUGGGGAAAGAUUUAUUGCAGAGAGAUCGGCCCGCGUCUGAUUAGCUAGUUGGUGAGGUAAUGGCUCACCAAGGCGACGAUCAGUAGCUGGUCUGAGAGGAUGAUCAGCCACACUGGGACUGAGACACGGCCCAGACUCCUACGGGAGGCAGCAGUGGGGAAUAUUGGACAAUGGGGGCAACCCUGAUCCAGCCAUGCCGCGUGAGUGAUGAAGGCCUUAGGGUUGUAAAGCUCUUUUAUCCGGGAAGAUAAUGACUGUACCGGAAGAAUAAGCCCCGGCUAACUUCGUGCCAGCAGCCGCGGUAAUACGAAGGGGGCUAGCGUUGUUCGGAAUCACUGGGCGUAAAGGGCGCGUAGGCGGACGAUUAAGUCAGGGGUGAAAUCCCGGGGCUCAACCUCGGAAUUGCCCUUGAUACUGGUUGUCUUGAGAUUGGAAGAGGUAAGUGGAAUUGCGAGUGUAGAGGUGAAAUUCGUAGAUAUUCGCAAGAACACCGGUGGCGAAGGCGACUUACUGGUCCAUAUCUGACGCUGAGGCGCGAAAGCGUGGGGAGCAAACAGGAUUAGAUACCCUGGUAGUCCACGCCGUAAAC